GCGGCCGUGGCGGAACUGGUAGACGCGCCAGCCUUAGGAGCUGGUGGGGUUUCCCCGUGUGGGUUCGAGUCCCUCCGGCCGCA
Gemmatimonas sp. SG8_28 is the source of this 83-nucleotide non-coding RNA. The record is from Rfam. NCBI's taxonomy places the organism in Bacteria, Pseudomonadati, Gemmatimonadota, Gemmatimonadia, Gemmatimonadales, Gemmatimonadaceae.